Molecule: non-coding RNA, 439 nt
Organism: Pelobates cultripes (western spadefoot toad)
Lineage: Eukaryota; Metazoa; Chordata; Amphibia; Anura; Pelobatidae
Source: the annotation of a GenBank genome assembly
CCUUGUCGAAAUGGAAGGUAGGCAGCAGCUUCCAGCGGUGUUCGGUAGUUUAAGUGUCCGUUUUUAGUUCCAUACAGUUUGUACCGAACACCGCUAUGUGUUCGUAUGUCCCAAAAUGGCCGCUGCCUCGUGGUCGACAUGCGAACGACGACCACCCGUACGAAUGGAAUAGAGAGGUGUCUGCGGUUCACCACAACGUUCUAAUUGGGGCCAAGAGGUUAACCAGCAGCACACUCCUCUCCUGGGUGGUUGUUCGUUCGGUAGUUUCAAUCGGUAGUUUGCAAAUUACACGAACGGGGUUAUAUGAACAGGCAAUUCAGCGAACAAAGGGAAACAGAUCAACCAGCAAUACAGAUGAAUCUGUCACAAAUAUAAUAAUAUAAUAAUGCUGUAUAGUACAGAGUAAUAUAUUAAUAUAGUAAUGCUGUAUAGUACAGAG